CAGCAGCCGCGGUAAUACGUAGGUCCCGAGCGUUGUCCGGAUUUAUUGGGCGUAAGGCGAGCGCAGGCGGUUAGAAAAGUCUGAAGUGAAAGGCAGUGGCUCAACCAUUGUAGGCUUUGGAAACUGUUUAACUUGAGUGCAGAAGGGGAGAGUGGAAUUCCAUGUGUAGCGGUGAAAUGCGUAGAUAUUGGGAGGAACACCGGCGGCGAAGGCGGCUUACCGGACGACAACUGACGUUGAGGCUCGAAGGCGUGGGUAGCAAACAGGAUUAGAUACCCGAGUAGUCCCUGUCUCUUAUACA
RNAcentral lists this ribosomal RNA (301 nucleotides) under uncultured bacterium. RNAcentral's name for it is "partial 16S ribosomal RNA". It matches the Rfam family "Bacterial small subunit ribosomal RNA", at positions 509 to 808 of the family's 1533-position model. The record is from RNAcentral.